UACGUAGGGGGCGAGCGUUGUCCGGAAUUACUGGGCGUAAAGAGAGCGUAGGCGGCACUCCAAGUCUCAUGUGAAAUACCCGGGCUUAACUUGGGGGUUGCAUGGGAAACUGUAGAGCUUGAGUACAGGAGAGGCAAGCGGAAUUCCUAGUGUAGCGGUGAAAUGCAUAGAUAUUAGGAGGAACACCAGUGGCGAAGGCGGCUUGCUGGACUGAAACUGACGCUGAGGCUCGAAAGCGUGGGGAGCAAACAGG
This 253-nucleotide ribosomal RNA is filed under the name uncultured bacterium. RNAcentral's name for it is "partial 16S ribosomal RNA". It matches the Rfam family "Bacterial small subunit ribosomal RNA", at positions 524 to 776 of the family's 1533-position model. The record is from RNAcentral.